AUUGAACGCUGGCGGCAGGCCUAACACAUGCAAGUCGAGCGGAUGAAGGGAGCUUGCUCCUGGAUUCAGCGGCGGACGGGUGAGUAAUGUCUAGGAAUCUGCCUGGUAGUGGGGGAUAACGUCCGGAAACGGGCGCUAAUACCGCAUACGUCCUGAGGGAGAAAGUGGGGGAUCUUCGGACCUCACGCUAUCAGAUGAGCCUAGGUCGGAUUAGCUAGUUGGUGGGGUAAAGGCCUACCAAGGCGACGAUCUGUAACUGGUCUGAGAGGAUGAUCAGUCACACUGGAACUGAGACACGGUCCAGACUCCUACGGGAGGCAGCAGUGGGGAAUAUUGGACAAUGGGCGAAAGCCUGAUCCAGCCAUGCCGCGUGUGUGAAGAAGGUCUUCGGAUUGUAAAGCACUUUAAGUUGGGAGGAAGGGCAGUAAGUUAAUACCUUGCUGUUUUGACGUUACCAACAGAAUAAGCACCGGCUAACUUCGUG
This 484-nucleotide ribosomal RNA is filed under the name uncultured bacterium. Its description in RNAcentral is "partial 16S ribosomal RNA". It matches the Rfam family "Bacterial small subunit ribosomal RNA", at positions 30 to 507 of the family's 1533-position model. The record is from RNAcentral.